RNAcentral lists this small RNA (28 nucleotides) under Bombyx mori (domestic silkworm). RNAcentral describes it as "ovarian small RNA-31477". The record is from RNAcentral. Lineage: Eukaryota; Metazoa; Arthropoda; Insecta; Lepidoptera; Bombycidae.
UGACAUUGAACAAUGCUUUUUGACUUGC